This 497-nucleotide ribosomal RNA is filed under the name uncultured bacterium. Its description in RNAcentral is "partial 16S ribosomal RNA". It matches the Rfam family "Bacterial small subunit ribosomal RNA", at positions 28 to 507 of the family's 1533-position model. The record is from RNAcentral.
GAUGAACGCUGGCGGCGUGCCUAAUACAUACAAGUCGAGCGAACAGACGAGGAGCUUGCUCCUCUGACGUUAGCGGCGGACGGGUGAGUAACACGUGGAUAACCUACCUAUAAGACUGGGAUAACUUCGGGAAACCGGAGCUAAUACCGGAUAAUAUAUUGAACCGCAUAGUUCAAUAGUGAAAGACGGUUUUGCUGUCACUUAUAGAUGGAUCCGCGCCGCAUUAGCUAGUUGGUAAGGUAACGGCUUACCAAGGCAACGAUGCGUAGCCGACCUGAGAGGGUGAUCGGCCACACUGGAACUGAGACACGGUCCAGACUCCUACGGGAGGCAGCAGUAGGGAAUCUUCCGCAAUGGGCGAAAGCCUGACGGAGCAACGCCGCGUGAGUGAUGAAGGUCUUCGGAUCGUAAAACUCUGUUAUUAGGGAAGAACAAAUGUGUAAGUAACUAUGCACGUCUUGACGGUACCUAAUCAGAAAGCCACGGCUAACUACGUG